This 499-nucleotide ribosomal RNA is filed under the name uncultured bacterium. RNAcentral's name for it is "partial 16S ribosomal RNA". It matches the Rfam family "Bacterial small subunit ribosomal RNA", at positions 899 to 1397 of the family's 1533-position model. The record is from RNAcentral.
ACUCAAAUGAAUUGACGGGGGCCCGCACAAGCGGUGGAUCAUGUGGUUUAAUUCGAAGCAACGCGCAGAACCUUACCUGGGUUUGACAUCCUCUGACAUGCGUAGAGAUACGUACUUCAUAGCAAUAUGACAGAGAGACAGGUGCUGCAUGGCUGUCGUCAGCUCGUGUUGUGAAAUGUUGGGUUAAGUCCCGCAACGAGCGCAACCCCUACUUUUGGUUGCCAUCAUUAAGUUGGGCACUCCAGAGGGACUGCCGUCGUUAAGACGGAGGAAGGUGGGGAUGACGUCAAGUCCUCAUGGCCUUUAUACCCAGGGCUACACACGUGAUACAAUGGUUGGUACAGAGGGUAGCGAAGCAGCGAUGCGGAGCUAAUCUCAAAAAGCCAAUCUCAGUUCGGAUUGGAGUCUGCAAUUCGACUCCAUGAAGUUGGAAUCGCUAGUAAUCGCGGAUCAGAACGCCGCGGUGAAUACGUUCCCGGGCCUUGUACACACCGCCCGU